RNAcentral lists this ribosomal RNA (253 nucleotides) under uncultured bacterium. RNAcentral describes it as "partial 16S ribosomal RNA". It matches the Rfam family "Bacterial small subunit ribosomal RNA", at positions 524 to 776 of the family's 1533-position model. The record is from RNAcentral.
UACGGAGGAUGCAAGCGUUAUCCGGAAUUAUUGGGCGUAAAGCGUCCGCAGGUGGCAUUUCAAGUCUGUUGUCAAAGACCGGGGCUUAACCCUGGAAAGGCAAUGGAAACUGAGAAGCUAGAGUGUCGUAGGGGUAGAGGGAAUUCCUGGUGUAGCGGUGAAAUGCGUAGAGAUCAGGAAGAACAUCGGUGGCGAAAGCGCUCUACUGGACGACAACUGACACUCAGGGACGAAAGCUAGGGGAGCGAAUGGG